UACAGAGGGUGCAAGCGUUAAUCGGAAUUACUGGGCGUAAAGCGUGCGUAGUCGGUAUUGAGAGUCGCGGGUGAAAUCCCAGGGCUUAACCCUGGAACUGCCUGCGAGACCUCAGUACUAGAGUGUGAGAGGGGAUAGUGGAAUGCCAAGUGUAGCGGUGAAAUGCGUAGAGAUUUGGCGGAACACCGGUGGCGAAGGCGGCUAUCUGGCUCACAACUGACGAUCAGGCACGAAAGCGUGGGGAGCAAACAGG
RNAcentral lists this ribosomal RNA (253 nucleotides) under uncultured bacterium. Its description in RNAcentral is "partial 16S ribosomal RNA". It matches the Rfam family "Bacterial small subunit ribosomal RNA", at positions 524 to 776 of the family's 1533-position model. The record is from RNAcentral.